This is a long non-coding RNA of Orcinus orca (killer whale), 12308 nucleotides long. RefSeq lists it as uncharacterized. NCBI's taxonomy places the organism in Eukaryota, Metazoa, Chordata, Mammalia, Artiodactyla, Delphinidae. The transcript has 2 exons. The record is from RefSeq and is a predicted model, not a curated record.
GUUUCAGGGUGAUGGUGGCCUCAUAGAAUGAGCUUGGCAGUGUUCCUUCCUCUACAGUUUUUUGGAAGAGUUUCAGAAGCAGCUCACUCAGGCCAGGCACAGAACUAUCACUACACAGAUGGAUGACACAGGGAACCAGAGGACGACGGAUUUCAAGGAGUCAGUGUCACCUUCACCUGGCACAGAGGAAUCCGCAAGAUUUGUCAAUUCAGGGCUCUUCAGUGGCCUGACCAGGUAAUUUAGUGGAGUGCCAGGGGCAGGAGCCAGAUGGCAAUCUGUGCCAACUCCUGUGCAGAUGCCACAGAACAGAAAUAGUCUCUGGUGACACUAUCCUGAAAGCCCAUAAAAUUCAGAAAUAUUGAUAAAGAUGAACCCUCUGGUUACAAAAACAGGCUCUCAUAUCCUCCCUUUCAAAAAGAAGUGAGGUAUUUUAUUUAGUUGAGCACUAGGAAACAAUGGGUUUUUAAGAACACAAAUAAUUUCAACCCCAGAAUGAAAAUUCAGCCAUUUCCUAGCCACAUUAAGGCUAUUGUUAACCUUUUAUUAAUCCAUAAAGGGGCAGUUCCCUUGGGGGAAACAAUAGCAGAGGCAGCAAAUAAAGCUUUGACAGAAAGCUACUUUGUGUUUUGGGUUUUACAACAGAAAUAUGAAAACGUAGGCAUUUUAAAGCCCUUACUAUGCACUGGGCACUUAAGACAACAAGGAAUAUUUUUCAUUAAAUUGUACCUAUUAAGACAUAAUUUAUGAGUUCGCUGGAAACUGAGUUUCACUAAGGGGCGAGAGAAAGAAAUCUUUUUUUUUUUGGUGUUCAAUAUUUUGUUUUCCACUUUUCUCUUUAAAUGAAGGCUAGCUGACCUAAAAUUGCUCUCAAUGGCUUUGAUUAAUAUAUAUUGAACUUUCCAAAUCAAACUCGAGUUUCUCUUUUAAAUAGGUGUUUAAAAGCCCCUGAAAUCAUGGUUGAGUGCCUUCGCACCUCUUCCCUCUCUCCUUGCUUUCCAGAAGUCUAUGCAACACAAAGAUGAGAUGAAGGAGGGGGAGAAUUUGAGAAGAAACUGGAGGCAGGGAUGGGACUGAGUAGCUUAGAACACUGGUCUCCAGGAGGCUGGUGCAGUGGGAGUGGAGAGGUGUGAAGCAAGUCACGAAGGAAAAAGCCAGCCCCGUACGAGUGAGUGAUUCCAGGACAAAGCAACUCAUGGCUCAAAGGUGACUGCAGAAUACUGAGCUUAGGCAACAGGAGCAGUGGUGGCGGCAUCAACAGAAAUAUGCAAACGUGGUCACUACACUGGGCAAUUUAUGCCUGUAUCUUAAUCAUCUCAGCAAGUUUAAGGAGGAAUUACUGUCAAAAUCUAUCUUCCAUUCUUGGUAAGGAAAUAGAUUCAAAGGGGUUAGAGAUUUGUCCAAAGCUAUAGAUAUAGCAAGAGGCAGAUCCAGGACCCAGACCCAGGUCUAAUUUCCAAGCCACCGCUCUUAACCACAACUAGAGGAUCUGACUUUGAUGGGAAAAAACGAUGUAUUCAGCUAUGGAUAGGGUGGGUAUGAAGAUCAAGUGGGGCCCAGCAGGCGGCCAGGAAUGAGGACUUGUAUGCAAGAGAGAGGUCUGAACUACCUGACAGCGCAGCCACAGGGAAGAAAGAGGUAACUCCAUGAGACUGGAUGCCAUCUUUGCAGGAACAAGUGCUGCCAAGAUAGAACCCUUAGGAGCACCCAAGGUGGGGAUCUGGGAGCAGAAAGAGGAGCCAUCCAAGAAGAUGGAGGACAGACCAGGGAAGUAGGGAAGGAACCAGGAGAGGAGAGUCCCACAGGAAGCAGAUAUUCUUCUGCUUAGGAAGAACCAUCAAAUGCUACAGUGAGAUGGCUCCAUUCAACAAAUAUUGAUUGAGGGCCUGCCUGGUGUGAAGCCCUGCUCUUAAGUCAGUCCCAGGAAGACUGCAGUUAGUGACAUAGAUGUAAAUCCCUGCCCUCAUGGAGCUUACCUUCUAGUGAGGAGAGAGAGAAUAAACACUAAGAAGCAAAACGUAAGCAAGAAUUGCCUCUUUAAAGUCCUUUCUCACUUGGUGUGGACCUGUCAUUCAUUCUGCCAGUGAAUGUUUAUUGAGCAUCAGGAAAAUGCUAGAGUAGGGGAUGGGAACCUAGGGUUCUUGUCCACAGGAGUGCACAGUGCUGGCAGGGACAGGGAAAGUGGUUAGGGAAGGGGACAGGGUAAUACAAGGGGCUUAAUGGCUCUAUAAGAAAAGGCUGAUUCAAAGUUUUUCAGGAGCACAUAAAAAUAGAGCAGCUCUAAUUGUAAGUCAAAUGCUAUUAGCAGUAGCAUACCAUGUAAGACUUGCAGGUAUAUGGAGAAAUGGGUCGUAGGUGCCAUACUGCUUUACAGGAGUACUGGGCUUUGUGCCCAGUGCCUGGAACACACUGGGUUGCCUCUGAUGUCACAGCUGACAGAGACCUCAUCAAUCACUGGGGCUUCCAGAGUGUCCAGAGGGUUCCAAACCACUAAUAGUUUAAUUGAAGAGCUCCAUACAUACUGAAGCACUAUCCACUUGAUUAAGCUAUCAAUCCAUUUAAUGAAAUCACUUAACAGCCACCAGAAUAAAUAAGUUAAUGUCAUAGCACACUCAAAUUUACUUAUAUUUGAUACAGUGUCUGGAACAGGAUAGAAAGCCUAGAAAUAAACCCACACACCUAUGGUCAACUAACCUAUGAAAAGGAAGCAAGAAUGUAUAGUGGAGAAAAAGACAGCCUCUUCAGUAAGUGGUGCUGGGAAAACUGGGCAGCUACAUGUAAAAGAAUGAAAUUAGAACAUUCUCUAACACCAUACACAAAAAUAAACCCAAAAUGGAUCAAAGACCUAAAUGUAAGGCUGGACACUAUAAAACUCUUAGAGGAAAACACAGGCAGAACACUCUUUGACAUAAAUCGUAAAUCACAGCAAUAUCUUUUUGGAUCUACCUCCUAGAGUAAUGAAAAUUUAAAAAAAUAAACAAAUGAGACCAAAUUAAACUUAAAAGCUUCUGCACAACAAAGGAAACCAUGAACAAAAUGAAAAGACAACCCACAGAAUGGGAGAAAAUAUUUGCAAACAAAGCAACCGACAAGGGAUUAAUCUCCAAAAUAUACAAACGGCUCAUGCAACUCUAUGUCAAAAAAAAACAACCCAAUCAAAAAACGAGAAGACCUAAAUAGACAUUUCUCCAAAGAAGACAUACAAAUGGCCAAAAAGCACAUGAAAAGAUCACUCAUGUGAUCACUAAUUGUCAGAGAAAUGCAAAUCAAAACUACAGUGACAUUUCACACCAGUCAGAAUGGCCAUCAUCAAAGUGUACGAACAAUAAAUGCUGAAGAGAGUGUGGAGGAAAGGAAAUCCUCCUACACUGUGUUGGUGGGAAUGUAAAUUGGUACAACCACUAUAGAAAACAGUAUGGACAUUCCUUACAAAACUAAAAAUAGGACUACCAUAUGACCCAGCAAUCCCACUCCUGGGCAUAUAUCUGGAGAAAACCAUAAUUCAAAAAGAUAUGUGCACCCCAGUGUUCAUUGCAGCACUAUUUACAACAGCCAAGACAUGGAAGCAACCUAAAUGUUCAUCAACAGAGGAAUGGAUAAAGAAGGUGUGGUACAUAUAUACAAUGGAAUAUUACUCAGCCAUAAAAAAGAAUGAACCUAUGCCAUUUGCAGCAACAUGGAUGGACCUAGAGAUUUUCAUACUAAGUGAAGUCAGAGAAAGACAAAUAUAUGAUAUCACUCAUGUGGAAUCUAAUUUUUAAAAAUGAUACAGAUGAACUUAUUUACAAAACAGAAACAGACUUACAGAUAUUGAAAACUUAUGGUUACCAAAAGGGAAAUGUGGGCAGAAGGGAUAAAUCAGGAUCUUGGGAUGAACAUACACACACUAGUACAUGUAAGACAGAUAACCAACAAGGACCUACUAUAUAGCACAGGGUACUCUACUCCAUAUUAUGUGAUAACCUGUAUGAGAAGAGAAUCUGAAAAAGAAUGAAUAUAUGUAUAUAUAACUGCUGUACACCUGAAAUUAACACAACACUGUAAAUCAACUAUAUUCCAAUAAAAUUUUUAAAAAAUACUUGAUCCAGUGUCUUACAUGUAAAAUCAGAGUUUUGAUUUGGAUAAUAGGGAUACUAGCUAUUAUUUAUUAAGUUCCUAACUUUGGUCCAGUUACCAUGCUAAAUGCUUUAUAUACGUGUUUUCAUUUAAUCCUCUUCACAACCCUAUAAGAUUUGAUAUUGUCAUCUUCAUUCCCAUUUUAAGGAUGAAAUCACAGAGGUUUAAGAGAGACUGAGUAACUUGCCCAGCAGCUGACUGGGCAGGGAACCCACAGCCUGAGCCUUCCCAACUGGACUGCACUGCCAAGUUCUCUGCAGGAGAACAGGGGAGUAAGAACAAAACUCAUCUGCAUAACUGAGGCUUAAAUUCAUUACUUUUCUGGAGCCUGUUUUUAAAAUAUUCUGGAAAACACCGUGGAAUCUUCUUAUUAGUUAGAUGCAAGUCUGAAGUCCAGGUGAGGACCAGGAAUUGUAUUAGAACAGACGUGACACAAUUUAGCAGCUCUCUAUUGAGUAUUUUAAAACUACAGAUGUACCAUACCAGGACUCCAAAGGUAUGGUUCAAAUCCUGGCUGUGUGGCUUCUAGUGAAUCCCUUUCUCUCUCUGGGCCUCAAUUUUGGUGUCUCUAAAACAGGGAGAUUAAACUAGGUCAGGGGGUUCUAAUUUGAUUUUGACCACAGAGCUCUUUUAUUCAAGCAAAAUCUUACUUGGAAUCUAACAUAUAAAACACACUAAAAGCUGAGUUUGUCAGGUUGUUUUUUUGAGGGGGGAAGGUCCCCCACAGGCCAGGUCCUUGCUCACCUCCUCAGCCCUGGAGGCCCCUCCCGGAGCCCUAGCACAGAGCACGCAGUUCCAAAAAGCACAGAUGGAAAACCACUGCCUGAAUCACCUCUCAAGAUGCUGUGCUCCUCACCACCCAGACGUGCACAGCGUCUGUCACAUAGUAGGCACUUCAUAAAUAUUUGUGAGGAAACGAAUGAAAUAUUACUUUGCCUUUUCGGAAAUGUGGAUACGUAGUUUUCAUUUCCUCUGCUGAUUGACCCAGGUAGUUAAAGUGCUAAGAUGGAUCCUGGGGGAAACCAAAUGUUACAUUUAUGGAAAAGCUGCUUUUAGAUACUAAAGUGGCUUCCAAGUUCAGCGUGGCCAUAAGUUAAGGGUCUGUCAGCACUUCCAUUAUGAAAACCACUUUGUGGUUUCAUAACUUAGCCGUAAAAGUUUGCUUCAGGCUAUCCCUCGGCAUACAAAUUGAAAACCUUGCUUUAAGCCAAAAUGUGGGAAUUAGAAUACAAACAAUUUAUUGGUUUCAGACGUAGUUUUGUACCCGUCUUAACCAAAUAAGAUUUAUUAUGUGGGCAAUUAGAGGGAACUAAACCACUUGGUUCUUGAAGAAUAAAAAAGGAGGAAAAUAGCCAAACUAUUUAUAUUUUAAAAGUUGUGCCUGGACAUGAUCAGUCAUUCUUUUGGGUCCUAUUUUUAUCAAUUACUUUGUCCCCUGCAUUGAUGAGACCUGGAGUCUAUUUACACAUUCUUUUUCCUUCUUUUUUUAAAUAAACAUUUUCUGUUAAUGACAUCAGAAUGAUAAAAUAGCCUUGUUUUUACCAAAAAGCAAGCACCAUAAAUGAGAAUAAUGUCAAAAAAAAUAAAAGCUUAAUCCUGCUUUUGGUAAAUACUUUGAGAAUGGCAAGUGGCUCACUUUAAUGAACAAAAAAGACAUCAGUAAUGAAUAAAAUAGGGAAGGAGAUGAGACAUUGUUCCUCAAUGUUAGAGCUGGUUAGAGCUGAGAAGUCACCUAGUCAACUGACUUAACAGAUUGGGAAACAGAGGCCUCAGCAAAGAGAGACCAGCCUGAACACAUCCUGCGACUACUAACCUCAAGGAUGAGAACCAGGUCUUCUACAGCCCAGUCUGGCGAUCAGCUCAUCCCUGUUUCCCACCCAUGUAACCAUUCAAGGCCCGGAGCCUACAUUUUUCUGACCUACUAAUGUCUAACAUGACACACACACAAAUGCCCCUAGUCACAUAAAAAUACACCUUCCCACGCACAGCGUAUGAGGCCCUUUGUGACUUUGGUUACCUCAGUCACAAGCUAUGUACCAUCAGUGUCCUUGUUAUAAACUUGUUUUCUGUCCUGUUUGGGCCAAGCACAGUUUUGAGCACCUAGAGACAGUGGGUUGGUUACUGGGUCUCGCUGAUCUGACUAUGGGGAGACCCAGGUACUGGGCUUGUGAGCAGCUUAAUAACACAUGGCUCUGUCCUCUAGCUCAGAAAUGCAACUGAACAAACCAGGUUAUAGUUACUGUUUAUCUGCUCAUGACUGAAGCGGAUCAUGUAUUUCUGAAUCUGGUCCAAUGCUUGACAACACUCUGUUACAGUACUGGGGAGCAGACAGAUCUUGUUCAAGGUUUAGAGCCUCCCUCCUCUGUUACUAAAGCACAUCAUUGAAAAUGUCUGCCUGCAUGUCUGACUUCUCUUGCAGACUGCACUCUGGGGCAGGAACCCAAUCUCAUUCCUCUCUCUAUCAUCACUGUCUGGCACAGGGAAGGUACUCAACAGAUAUUUGUUGAAUGAGCAAAUGAAUGAAUAAAUGAAGGACCAGAUGCAUGCAUUCGCUGAUAGGGCCCAUCUCUCUCUGAAGUGGCUUCCCCAGGUCUCUCCUUCUCCACCCCUUGUGCCCUGCACAAUCUCCCCACUCUGCAGAAGCCAGUCAGACCCUCAGCAGCCACGACUUUUCUUUGCAGAAGUACUUUAGAGAGAGUGCAAUUCUGGGAAUAACAGCCCAGGAAAGUAUUUUCUUAAGUCAAAGGGGAAUUUGAGUUGGAAAACCAGGAAAUUCUUAAAUACCUGGGUAGAAGAUCACAGCCCACUCCAACCUCUCUGGUUUCCACUUCAGUCUUGGGCUGGGUUUCUAUUAAAUAGUCCAACCUGCUUUGUAGUUCAUUAUUCUAGAGAUGAGGAAAAAAGUACUUUCAGUAAAGCAAUUACGUUCCCCCACAAAUACAUAUGAUACAAUUUAUAUGUAUUAUCUGGAUUUCCCCCUAGACACAGACAUCUAUCACAAUGUAUUUAUUAAGCACCUCUUACACAGUAGGAAUUGAAGAAAUACAUUGAUUGAAUCCUUACAGAUAGAGUGCAUAGACAUACAUAUGUAUCCAAUUUUACCUAAAUGGAAACAAAAUAUCCUACUCUAUACCAUUAUUUGCUGCUUUUCCCCACUCAACAAUUUGUUGUGACUCUUUCCAUGUUUAUUAGUUUUCUUUUUAUGUUAACAAAUUAUUUUAACGGGUUCAUAGCAUUCCAUUGUAUGGAUCUACAUUAUUUAUUUAACUAGUCUCUUAUUGAUGGCAUUUAGAUGUUUAUCACUUUUUCUGCAAUUAUAAAUAAGGUACAGCUCAUGUUUUAAUACUCCCUCAUUAAACUAUAAAAUGAGUAAGUCUAUUAAUUUACUGGGAAAUACCUCUGUAACUUAAUAAUUAGUAUUUCAUAGGUGUGGAGAAUUCAGAAUCUCAAACAUACAAAGUAGAACAAGUUCCUUGGGAUUAAAAUUAGCAUUCUAAAUAGUUUCUUUUCAGGCCAGAGCCAAACAUUACAUAGGUUGAUGAUUAGAUGCUCAGGAAUUGGAAAUUUGCCCCGUGGGGAAAUGAAGGACAAGGGAGCAAGAGUGUUGAGGGUUUUGAAAUGAAAAUAGAUGAAGUGUUGGACUUCCCUCGUGGCACAGUGGUUAAGAAUCUGCCUGCCAGUGCAGGCGACACGGGUUCGAGCCCUGGUCCGGGAAGGUCCCACAUGCCACAGAGCAGCUAAGCCCGUGCACCACAACUAGUGAGCCUGCGCUCUAGAGCCUGCAUGUCACAACUGCUGAAGCUCACGCGCCUAGAGCCCGUGCUCCACAGCAAGAGAAGCCACCACAAUGAGAAGCCCGCACACCACAACAGAGAGUAGCCUCCACUCGCCGCAACUAGAGAAAAGCCCGCAUGCAGCAACAAAGACCCAAUGCAACCAAAAAUAAGUUAAUUAAUUAAAUUUAAAAAGAUAGAUGAAGUGCUGGUGCUUAAAAUCCAAAGGCCAAAAAGACACAUUUAAAAAAAUUCAGAGAUUUUUGGAUUUUUUUUAAGUUAUUCUAUAUAUUUUCUGUAAUACUAGACUAAAUUUUCAUGAGGCAGUGACCGUAACUAUCUUUCUGGCUGUAUUAUCAGAGCAUGUAUGUAGCAGACGCAAGAUAAAUUUAUUAUUGAAUAAAUGUAUAUAUGCUUUUAAAAUGAGCAUUUUAUUUGCAUAACUAGAAACCAAUUAAGCAUUUGUCUUUUCUUUUUAAGUUGGAGCUGAAGCUAAGGCACUGUAUUCCAAGACAGUAGACAGCACAUGAAAGUUGAGAAGUUCUUUGGAAACAGAAGCUCAUUUGUUUUGAAAGAGCUCCUGCUCUAAAUGUCUGAUACCAAGGUGCAAAGCAGCAGCUCUGGUACAAACUCAUGUUCUGCAGAAUGUAAAGGUCUAGGAAUCCCUUCCGAUAAAUGGGAAACAGUAUAAAGGAAGAGAAUGCAUUCCAGGUUCCCUAGCAGCUAACAAGCCAUGACAGAUCUGUGGGCUCUGCAUCUGUCACCUGGUGCUCAGUAUGGGAGAAUGGUGCUGGCUAACUGCCAGGGGUUCCUCACCAUUUACACACACACACACAGACACACACACACAGCUUCACUGAAAAUAUUUGAACUCUUCCAUUCAUAUGGAAAGAGAAAGGCAGAAGAGGCCUGCCUAUUAACAAGCUUCAGCAAUCCUACUGUUUUAUCCUUUCUUAAUGUAGACUUUAAUCAUGAGGAUUUCUUAAAAUGCUGGGCUGAGUUCCUAUAGUUAGGGGGCAUAAAAGACAAGGUUAGCAAGCGUGCCCCAACUGGUAUACAGUGAAUAGUGUACUGGUAGCCCCAAUUCCUUUGUUCUAUUCCAGAGGAACUCUAUGUGUACGCAUCAGCUAUCCACUGAAGCACUGAUACAAAAACUUAUACGCUUAGAAAUGUAAUACUAUCAGUUAAAAACAAAAAAAACAAUAAAACCCUGAGUAUGUAUCAGGUAGCAUGUAAAAUCAGGUAGGGGGAGGAUAUUGGCAGUUAAAGAAAUAGGUCGUGAUUUGCAGCCUUUGAGGAGCUCAGUCUUUUGCAGGUAGAGACACCUAAGCAGAAAAUCACAGAACAAAGUCACAAGUCCCAUGCCAGAGGGACCUAGAGAAUAUUAUGGGGUGAUUCAGAGGGGAUGCCUAACUCAAAAUGGGGAAAAGGACUGAAUUGUCCGUGAAGAUUUCCUGGAAUUAUGCAAGGGGAAGAGAGUAAGGGAAACAAAAGGGUAAGUAAUCCAGAAUUAUGGAAACAUACCAGAUUGAGAACAGGCACCUGACUGCAGUAUACAGGAGGGCAGGAGUUGGUUAUAAAGGACUAUGUAUGCCAUUACCAAGACUCUACACACAAUCCUAUAAGACCAAGGUCAAGAUUUUAUUUCAAACACUUGGGCUCUGAGUGGAAAUUAUACUGGAAGGAAAUAAAACUAUAGGCAAGGAAGAUCAAUCAAGGAGGUCAUUGCAAUUUUCCAGGUAGAGUGAGAGCUGCACUUCAAGUAUAUAGGAGUAAGCUCAUAAUGAAUAGAUCCUCCUUCAAAGAACAGCUAUCAACCUUGGACAAAAGAUAACUGCUGAGGUCUUUAAAGACUCAACAAGGAUGGGCAAGUUUUAGAGGGGAGGUAAAGCUUGGAGCAAAUGACAAGCACUGAAUGGGUUCUCUGUGAUUCAUUUGUUUUUGUUUGCAGCUUUGCCCAAGGGCAGUACAGUCAUGGUGCUGGCAGCACAGACACAGUAAAAAUUCAAUAGAAAAAUCAUCUUUCUGGUAGAAGAAAACCAGUAGGAGUCUACAGGAUAGAAGAAUAACCACGGUUACCAAGAGUAAGGGGGAAGCCAAAAAGGAAGGGUCAGAGAAGACUGAAGUUCUGAAUUCUGUAUAUAAACUCAGUUCGAGUCUCUGGCAGACCCCUGAAUCACGUAUGUGUGGGGCAAAGUAAAAGAAGUAUGCAGCCAAGGCGUAAAGAACUGAACUGAGAUCUAAGCCAUCACCCACUACAUUAUGGCAGGGUGCAAUUGAGUCUAACCAGACUCUUUACCUUUUAAAACAAUCACAAGCCUAUUUUCCUUUACAUCACUGAUGAAGGAGUAAAAAAAAAAAAAAAACCAGAAAGAAAUAGAAAAUAUAAAUAUAAAACAAAUGGUAACUUUAGAACAGAAAAAUACAAUGCCUGAAAUUUAAAAGUCACUAGAUUGACUUAAGAAAAGAAUGGAUAUGACAAAGGAAGGAGUCAGUAGUAAACUUGAGGACACAGAGACACAUUAAUAGAAAUCAAUCAAAAUAAGAUAAAGAAAAUGUUGAAAAUAAUAAAUGGAACUUCAUGGAACUGUGGGACAAUUUCUAAAAGCCUAACAUAGAGAUGCUGGAAUCACAGAAGGAAAGAAGGGAGAAACUUGAGAAAAAAAUAUUCAAAGAAAUAAUGGCUAGGAAAAAAGAAAGAAAGAAAAGCACUUACAUCUCCAGAUACUUUUUGAGGGGGCGGGGGGAGAAAAGAAAUAAUGCCUGAAAUUUUCCCAUAUUUGGUGAAAGACAUAAGUAUAUAAAUUCAAGAAUCUCAGCAAACCCAGACAGAAUAAAUUCAAAGAGAAGCAUACCUUGGCAAAUCAGAGUCAAACUACUGAAAAAGAAAGAAAAACCUUGAAAGCCAUCCUGUUACAUAUAGGGGAACGAUAAUUUGAAUUACCAAAAGUUGCUCAUCAAAAACUACAAAAGCCAAAAGGGAGUGAGUACUAAAAGAAAGAAACUGUCAAACUAGAACUCUAUAUAUUUUAGCAAUGAAGGUGAACUAGAGGCCUUACUUUAAAAUAAGAAAAACUAAGUGAAUUUGUCCCCAGCUGGCCUGCUCUAUACAAAAUGCUAAAUAAAAGUUCUUCAGGCUGAAGAGAGAUACUAGAAAGAAACUCAGAUUUUCAGAAACGAGUAAAGAACAUCAGAAAUAAAUACUAUAUGAGUAAACAUAAAAGAUGAUUAUUUUCUCUUAAUUUCUCUAAAAUACCUAUGACUGUUAAAAACUAUAACAAUGUACUGUGGGUUUAUAGUAUAUAUAAGAUACAAUACAUGAGAUAACUCUAACAGCAGGGGAAGGGGUAGAUGGACCUUAUCAUUAAAAGACUUCUACAUUUUUCAUGAAAUGGUACAAUAUUACCUCUAAGUGAACUGUGAACACAUAAUGAAGUAUAUUGUAAUACCUAGAGCAAUCACUAAAAUAUUAAAGACACAGAAAAUGCCAAUAGAUAAAAUGGAAUUCUAAAAAAUACUGGAAUAACCCAAAAGAAUGCAAGAGAGGGGAACAAGACCAAGAAAACAAACCAGAGGGACUAAAUAGAAAACAAAUGAUAGGGACUUCCCUUGUGACACAGUGGUUAAGAAUCCACCUGCCAAUGCAGGGGACAGGGGUUCGAGCCCUGGUCUGGGAAGAUCCCACAUGCCGCAGAGCAACUAAGCCCGUGGGCCACAACUACUGAAGCUCGUGCGCCUAGAGCCCGUGCUCCGCAACAAGAGAAGCCAUCGCACAGCAACAAAGACCCAACGCAGCCAAAAAUAAAAUAAUAAAAUGAAAUAAAAUAAAAAGUAAUCAAAUAAUAAUAAUAAAAUGGCAGACCUAAAUAAAUUGAGCCAUAUCAAUAAUAAUUGUCAAUGGACAGUAUACUUCAAUAUGAGACAGAAUAUCAGAAUAUAUUAAAAAAAACCAAGACCUAACUAUGUAUUGUCAAUAGGAGAUGUAUUGAAUAUUUACCUUAAAUAGAGAGACACAGAUCAGUUAAAAAUAAGUGGAUGGAAAAAGAUAUACCAUACAAACAGUAAACAUAAGAGGGCAGAAAGGGUAAUAUUAAUACCAGAUGAAAUAGACUUCAAGACAAAGAGUAUGAACAAAGGUGGUGACCACCAUUUCAUAAUAAUGAGAUCAAUUCAUCUCCAAAACACAACAAUCAAAAAUUAUGUACCUAAUAACAAAGCUUCAGAAUAUAUGAAGUAAAAAAAUAACAAAAUUAAACAAAGAGACAGUCUAAAGCCAUAGCAAGGGAUUUUAAUACCCCUCUCUCAGCAAUAGAACAAUUAUACAAAACCCAGUAAAAUCAUAAAUAAACAUUAUCAACGACCUAAAUCUUAUUAUUUAUAGAACACAAAAAAAGAGCAGAAGACUUUUUUUUUUUUUUUUUU